Suncus etruscus (white-toothed pygmy shrew) is the source of this 107-nucleotide small nuclear RNA. The record is from RefSeq and is a predicted model, not a curated record. Lineage: Eukaryota; Metazoa; Chordata; Mammalia; Eulipotyphla; Soricidae.
GUGCUUGCUUUGGCAGCACCUAUAUUCAAAAUGGAAUAAUACAAAGAAGAUUAGAAUGGCCCCUGUGCAAGGAUGACACACAAAUUUGUGAAGCAUUACAUAUUUUU